This 648-nucleotide ribosomal RNA is filed under the name uncultured Alphaproteobacteria bacterium. RNAcentral describes it as "bacterial SSU rRNA". It matches the Rfam family "Bacterial small subunit ribosomal RNA", at positions 64 to 758 of the family's 1533-position model. The record is from RNAcentral. Lineage: Bacteria; Pseudomonadati; Pseudomonadota; Alphaproteobacteria.
AAACGCCCUCUUCGGAGGGAGUGGCAGACGGGGGAGUAACGCGUGGGAACCUACCAUACGGUACGGAAUAACUUCAGGAAACCGGAGCUAAUACCGUAUACGCCCUUCGGGGGAAAGAUUUAUCGCCGUUUGAUGGGCCCGCGUCGGAUUAGCUUUUUGGGGGGGUAAUGGCCCACCAAGGCGACGAUCCGUAGCUGGUUUGAGAAGAUGAUCAGCCACACUGGGACUGAGACACGGCCCAGACUCCUACGGGAGGCAGCAGUGGGGAAUAUUGGACAAUGGGCGCAAGCCUGAUCCAGCCAUGCCGCGUGAGUGACGAAGGCCUUAGGGUUUUAAAGCUCUUUCAGCGGGGAAGAUAAUGACGGUACCCGCAGAAGAAGCCCCGGCUAACUCCGUGCCAGCAGCCGCGGUAAUACGGAGGGGGCUAGCGUUUUUCGGAAUCACUGGGCGUAAAGCGCGCGUAGGCUGACUGGUCAGUUGGGGGGGAAAUCCCGAGGCUUAACCUCGGAACUGCCUCCAAAACUGCCAGUCUCGAGUCCGGGAGAGGGGAGUGGAAUUCCUAGUGUAGAGGGGAAAUUCGUAGAUAUUAGGAAGAACACCAGUGGCGAAGGCGGCUCACUGGCCCGGUACUGACGCUGAGGGGCGAAU